This 134-nucleotide unclassified non-coding RNA is filed under the name soil metagenome. Its description in RNAcentral is "partial internal transcribed spacer 1". The record is from RNAcentral.
CGAAUGGGUCUGAAGACUCUUAAAACCUACCGUGCUCCCCUACGUGGAAAUCAGGAAAGCCCCUCCGGGGCAUAGGAAAUCUGAGAAGUUGAAGAACUGCGCCGCCUCGGCGCGCAUGACUAAACAAAAAAUUA